UUUUCAGAUUCAGAUGGAUUAAAUCUGUGCCAGAGGGCCCCAUCCCGGGUGAGGGGAUUCCCCCAAGCAGGUGAGGCACUACUUGUUUCUGUAGAGGAAGCAUAAAUGGUGGCUGUUACAGCAUUGUUCUUUGUCUCUCUUUUUAGGAAGUUAAAGCCGAGAGCAGCAGUCAAGGCCAAGUGGGCGAGGUGGUCCGCUUGCAAUCUAUCCUAGCCGAGCAUAUCCGUGCCAGGUGCUGUUGCUGCCCUAGGUACGCCAAGGAACAGAGGAGGGCAGGUAUCUUCUGGCCAGCCUCCGGAGUCAAAUCAAGAUUUGAGGUACCCUGAGGAGGCUCUUACCCAAAGCUUAGAAACGGCAACACCGAAGCACACGCGGAGAACAUAUCAACGUCCACGUGCGACCGAGGAUGGAUUUUGUCCGCUCCUCUUCCAAAAGCUAAGUGUCGGGGCCAGCGGUCGGGAGAAGGGGAAAAACCUUUACUAUCACAGGGGGCAAUUUCACGUCAGCUUAGCGGAGAGGUCUGUAGCGGGACAGGCUCUCUGGAAGUAAAGGGAGAGGGUUUCUCCUCAGCCUCACCAGAGCCUUUGCCGGGCAGGGCAGUUCCAACCCAUCUCCACGUUCUCGGGAACUUUGCGUCGUCCGCCUUCCUCGACUCGACGUCGUCACGG
Agelaius phoeniceus (red-winged blackbird) is the source of this 668-nucleotide non-coding RNA. The record is from RefSeq and is a predicted model, not a curated record. NCBI's taxonomy places the organism in Eukaryota, Metazoa, Chordata, Aves, Passeriformes, Icteridae.